AACGAACGCUGGCGGCAUGCCUAACACAUGCAAGUCGAACGAGACCUUCGGGUCUAGUGGCGCACGGGUGCGUAACGCGUGGGAACCUGCCCUUAGGUUCGGAAUAACUCCCCGAAAGGGGUGCUAAUACCGGAUAAUGUCUUCGGACCAAAGAUUUAUCGCCUUUGGAUGGGCCCGCGUUGGAUUAGCUAGUUGGUAGGGUAAAAGCCUACCAAGGCGACGAUCCAUAGCUGGUCUGAGAGGAUGAUCAGCCACACUGGGACUGAGACACGGCCCAGACUCCUACGGGAGGCAGCAGUGGGGACUAUUGGACGAUGGGCGCAAGCCUGAUCCAGCCCUGCCGCGUGAGUGAUGCAGGCCUUAGGGUUGUAAAGCUCUUUUACCCGGGAUGAUAAUGACAGUACCGGGAGAAUAAGCUCCGGCUAACUCCGUG
Molecule: ribosomal RNA, 433 nt
Filed under: uncultured bacterium
Lineage: Bacteria
Description: partial 16S ribosomal RNA
Rfam family: Bacterial small subunit ribosomal RNA
Source: RNAcentral